RNAcentral lists this ribosomal RNA (534 nucleotides) under uncultured Alphaproteobacteria bacterium. Its description in RNAcentral is "bacterial SSU rRNA". It matches the Rfam family "Bacterial small subunit ribosomal RNA", at positions 362 to 914 of the family's 1533-position model. Lineage: Bacteria; Pseudomonadati; Pseudomonadota; Alphaproteobacteria. The record is from RNAcentral.
UCUUAGACAAUGGGGGAAACCCUGAUCUAGCGAUGCCGCGUGUGUGACGAAGGCCUUAGGGUCAGUAAGCACUUUCGCCAGAGAUGAUAAUGACAGUAUCUGGUAAAGAAACCCCGGCUAACUCCGUGCCAGCAGCCGCGGUAAUACGGAGGGGGUUAGCGUUGUUCGGAAUUACUGGGCGUAAAGCGUACGUAGGCGGAUUAGUAAGUUAGAGGUGAAAUCCCAGGGCUCAACCCUGGAACUGCCUUUAAUACUGCUAGUCUAGAGUUCGAGAGAGGUGAGUGGAAUUCCAAGUGUAGAGGUGAAAUUCGUAGAUAUUUGGAGGAACACCAGUGGCGAAGGCGGCUCACUGGCUCGAUACUGACGCUGAGGUACGAAAGUGUGGGGAGCAAACAGGAUUAGAUACCCUGGUAGUCCACACCGUAAACGAUGAAUGCCAGUCGUCGGGUAGUAUACUAUUCGGUGACACACCUAACGGAGUAAGCAUUCCGCCUGGGGAGUACGGUCGCAAGAUUAAAACUCAAAUGAAUUGAC